GAUGAACGCUGGCGGCGCGCCUAACACAUGCAAGUCGAACGGCACUUAUCUUCGGAUAGAAGCGAGUGGCGAACGGCUGAGUAACACGUGGAGAACCUGCCCCCUCCCCCGGGAUAGCCGCCCGAAAGGACGGGUAAUACCGGAUACCCCGGGGUGCCGCAUGGCGCCCCGGCUAAAGCCCCGACGGGAGGGGAUGGCUCCGCGGCCCAUCAGGUAGACGGCGGGGUGACGGCCCACCGUGCCGACAACGGGUAGCCGGGUUGAGAGACCGACCGGCCAGAUUGGGACUGAGACACGGCCCAGACUCCUACGGGAGGCAGCAGUGGGGAAUCUUGCGCAAUGGGGGGAACCCUGACGCAGCGACGCCGCGUGCGGGACGGAGGCCUUCGGGUCGUAAACCGCUUUCAGCAGGGAAGAGUCAAGACUGUACCUGCAGAAGAAG
This 442-nucleotide ribosomal RNA is filed under the name uncultured bacterium. RNAcentral describes it as "bacterial SSU rRNA". It matches the Rfam family "Bacterial small subunit ribosomal RNA", at positions 28 to 490 of the family's 1533-position model. The record is from RNAcentral.